AGAGUUUGAUCAUAGCUCAGAUUGAACGCUGGCGGCAGGCCUAACACAUGCAAAGCUUGAGUGGUAUGAGGGCUUGCUCCUGGAUUCAGCGGCGGACGGUGAGUAAUGCCCAGGGAAUCUGCCCGGUAGUGGGGAUAACGUCCGAAACGGGCGCCAUUACCGCAUACGUCCUGAGGAGGUGCGGGGAUCUUCGGACCACGUCAGAUGAGCCUUAGUCGAUUAGCUGGUGGGGCAAGGCCUGCGACGAUCCGUAACUGGUCUGAGAGGAUGAUCAGUCACACUGGCCCAUACCACUCCUACGGAGGCAGGGAAUAUUGGACAAUGGCGAAAGCCCAUCCAGCCAUGCCGCGUGUGAAGAAGGUCUUCGGAUCGUAAAGCACUUUUAAGUUGGGAGGAAGGCAGUGUUAACACCUUGCUGUUUUGACGUUACAAUAGAAUAAGCACCGGCUAACUUCAGCCAGCAGCCGCGGUAAUGCGAGGGGUGCAAGACCGGAAUUGGCGUAAGCGCGGUGGUUCGUUGGAUGAACCUCGGGCUCAACUUGAACCGCAUCCAAAACUACUGAGCAGGAGUACGGUAGAGGGUGGUGAAUUUCCUGUGCGGUGAAAUGCGUAGGAUAUAGGAAGGAACACCAGUGGCGAAGGCGACCACCUGGAUUGAUACCGACACUGAGGUGCGAAGCGUGAGCAAACAGGAUUAGAUACCCUGGUAGUCCACGCCGUAAAUGAUGCCGACUAGCCGUUGGGAUCCCUGAGAUCAUAGUGGCGCAGUUAACGCGAUAAGUCGACUGCCUGGGAGUACGGCUGCAAGCUAAACUCAAAUGGAUUGACGGGGGCCCACACGCGGAGUAGCCAUGUGGUUUACCUGAAGCACGCGAAGAACCUACCUGGCCUUACGUUGGAGAACUUUCCAGAGAUGGAUUGGUGCCUUCGGGAACUCAGACACAGGUGCCGUACGUGGCUGUCGUCAGUCGUGUCGGGAGAUGUUAAGGUUAAGUCCCGUAACGGAGUGCAACUCCUUGUCCUUAGUCACCAGCACCGGUAAUUUACAGACUGCCGAACCGGAUAGGCGGCCCUGCAUGGCCAGGUCACACGUGCUACAUGAUGGUUUGCCAGGCUGCCGCAGGAGCUAAUCCCAUAAACCGAUCGUCCGGAUCGCAGUUCAACUCGACUGCGUGAAGUCGGAAUCGCUGCAAUCGUGAAUCAGAAUGUCACGGUGAAUACGUUCCCGGGCCUUGUACACCACCGUCAAUCAUGGGGAGAGGUUGCUCCAGAAGUAGCUAGUCUAACCGGGACGGUUACCACGGAGUGAUCUAUGACUGGGUGAAGUCGAAACAA
RNAcentral lists this ribosomal RNA (1335 nucleotides) under metagenome. Its description in RNAcentral is "bacterial SSU rRNA". It matches the Rfam family "Bacterial small subunit ribosomal RNA". The record is from RNAcentral.